UACGGAGGGUGCAAGCGUUGUCCGGAUUUAUUGGGUUUAAAGGGUGCGUAGGCGGCUAAUUAAGUCAGCGGUGAAAUUCCACAGCUUAACUGUGGAACUGCCAUUGAUACUGGUUGGCUUGAGUACAGAUGAGGUAGGCGGAAUUGACAGUGUAGCGGUGAAAUGCUUAGAUAUUGUCAAGAACACCUAUUGCGAAGGCAGCUUACUAAGCUGUAACUGACGCUGAGGCACGAAAGCGUGGGGAGCAAACAGG
This 253-nucleotide ribosomal RNA is filed under the name uncultured bacterium. RNAcentral's name for it is "partial 16S ribosomal RNA". It matches the Rfam family "Bacterial small subunit ribosomal RNA", at positions 524 to 776 of the family's 1533-position model. The record is from RNAcentral.